Molecule: non-coding RNA, 1068 nt
Organism: Arachis ipaensis
Lineage: Eukaryota; Viridiplantae; Streptophyta; Magnoliopsida; Fabales; Fabaceae
Source: RefSeq, a predicted model, not a curated record
CUCGAUCCAUUCACACUCCACACAAAUCACAUGAGCUUGUUCCACUCUCCGUCACCGAGUUGCUUCUUCUCUCCAUCGCACCAGCUUCUUCCGCCGCUGUCGCCGCCGCUCGCCUCGCAGGAUCUCUCUUUGUCAUCCCUUGCGUCGCACGAGCUCCCUCCGCCGCUGCUCUCGUCGCGUCUGCAGCGAUUCGUGAAACUCAUCUCAACUCGGUGGUUAUUGUUGAAUGGCGAAGCUUGAAGCGAAGCUCGGAAUGAUAGUUGACUCCGUUGGUAACUUCUUCUCCGGCAAAGACCAACUUCUCUGGUGUGACCCUGACAUCGUCGCUAAUAAACGAUUUGAAUUGAAAUCAGAUAGAAGAAGGGAGAGCAGUUGUGGUGUUGCAGUCUCCUGGAGCUGGUAUCGGAAGUGAGCUGUGGUAUCAGAGGUGGUGGUGAUGUUGGCGGCGAUGAAGGAUGAGAGGAGGAGGAGGAGGAGGAGGAGGGGGAUCGAAGCGGGAAGGGAGUGAUUUGGAGAAAUCGAGGUUGUUAGGGGAAGGGCGCCUCCUCCUUGGCUUGGUACCAAGAAAGGAAGGGAAGUUCCAUUGCUCCUCAGCUGCGAUCGCGUUCUCAACUGACACUCUGAGAUGCGUUGUUGAAGAAGUAGGCACAGUCUUUGUCUUCUUCAAUGGAGGCUUCUUCAGCUGGUUCUGCUUCUGCUUUGAACCUCCGUCAUCAUCCCUACUGUUGUCUCGCAUUCUUCACCGAUGCCUGGGAUCUACGAUGGACUUCUUCAAUUAGUGAUCUUGCACAGAAGGUGUUUGUGGAUUUGACGAGAUGGUGGCAGGGAAGGAGAGGAAGUAUUACAUGCUUAGUGGGAAAGGGGGUGUGGGAAAAACAAGCUGUGCUACCUCCCUUGCAGUGAGAUUUGCAAAUCAUGGGCACCCCCACUAUGGUGGUUUCAACUGACCCUGCUCACUCCUUAAGCAACUCUUUUGCUCAGAAAAAUGUGCUGGCUGAGUCUAGGAUGAUGAUUCCUGAUUUCCACAAGCGCCUUAAGGCCACACUUGUGGAUUUAAAAGGAGCAUUG